UCUCCCACAGCUCCGGUCGCCGCCCCCACCUUCUCCCUCUGCUCUAGCCACUGACCUGCACCACGCAUUGCGCCACCACCCCGCACUCCAACAGACGCCGCCUCCGUGGCCCCCCACGGAUCGAGCCGUCACCGUGACCCCUCCCGCUGCUCCGUCCGUAGAUGCCAGCGCCCAACCCAAUGAAGUCGUGGAGGUCGACGUCUCCCAUGGCUAUGGCGGGCAUCUACGCAGUCGGGCUAGCUCCGGCCAUCCUCGAGGUCGCCUCCUCACUCGCCGUUAAAUCACCUCAUAUUUUUUUGAUCUCUGUUCAUGGGGAGCAUAUCAGUUCAUCAGUUCGUCCGUUCGUGUGCAGCAUAUCAGUUCAUCAGUUCGUCUGGAGCUUUCUCGGCCGCCAGGUACUACUACAAAGCAGAAAGGAUCUUUCGAAGUUGGUUAACAACAAAAUGCCGUGCCUCUUGUGCUUCAAGACUGCUAGUUCUUCAACUAAAAACAUAUACAUUUCGCUUGGCAUACUUUCUGGAUGUGGUAUUACAUGAUAUCAGUCCCAAAAAGGGCAGAAUAUCUGGAAGUUGUUCAAGGAUGGUUUCAUCAGCAAAAAGAAGUCGCAGAGCUUCACUCCAGGUCUCUGCAAAAGAGGGCGCAUGAGGCGAAGCAGAAGGGCGACCAUAGUGGCUAUGGUUUGUAGCUGCAACUUUAAUUGGCACAAUGGUCUUGAUUACCAGCUCAUGGCCCUUUACUGCUUGUGUUGUCGAGGGAGCCUGGGGCUGCUGCUGACUCCACCACCGCUUCAGCGUCCACCGUGAGUGGCAUUGGCCGCCCUCUGGGUGAGAUGAUUCAUGGAGUACAGCUGUUGUUGAAUAUGACUUGUGUACUUGCUGGACAAUAGUGUAUGAACGUUUCCGAUGGAUAUAGCAAGCCGGCGCAAAAAAGAGGACUUGUACAACGCUUCUCCAGGUUCUCCGCUGUGACACUCUCUCACAACAAUCUCUCUCUUUCUCUGCUUCUGCUAUUAAAAUGCUUACAUGUGUUGUUCUGCUGAUUGAGUACUUUGGGAAGAUGCGAAAAGAACAUGUUUAGAUGGUUGCUUUUCAUGCGUAUUUGUCACUA
Molecule: long non-coding RNA, 1107 nt
Organism: Aegilops tauschii subsp. strangulata
Lineage: Eukaryota; Viridiplantae; Streptophyta; Magnoliopsida; Poales; Poaceae
Source: RefSeq, a predicted model, not a curated record